UAGGGAAUCUUCGGCAAUGGACGAAAGUCUGACCGAGCAACGCCGCGUGAGUGAAGAAGGUUUUCGGAUCGUAAAACUCUGUUGUUUGAGAAGAACAAGGACGUUAGUAACUGAACGUCCCCUGACGGUAUCUAACCAGAAAGCCACGGCUAACUACGUGCCAGCAGCCGCGGUAAUACGUAGGUGGCAAGCGUUGUCCGGAUUUAUUGGGCGUAAAGCGAGCGCAGGCGGUUUCUUAAGUCUGAUGUGAAAGCCCCCGGCUCAACCGGGGAGGGUCAUUGGAAACUGGGAGACUUGAGUGGAGAAGAGGGGAGUGGAAUUCCAUGUGUAGCGGUGAAAUGCGUAGAUAUAUGGGGGAACACCAGUGGCGAGGGCGGCUCUCGGGUCUGUAACUGACGCUGAGGCUCGAAAGCGUGGGGAGCAAACAGG
RNAcentral lists this ribosomal RNA (429 nucleotides) under Gemmatimonadota bacterium. RNAcentral describes it as "Gemmatimonadetes bacterium partial 16S ribosomal RNA". It matches the Rfam family "Bacterial small subunit ribosomal RNA", at positions 355 to 776 of the family's 1533-position model. The record is from RNAcentral. Lineage: Bacteria; Pseudomonadati; Gemmatimonadota.